Molecule: ribosomal RNA, 492 nt
Filed under: uncultured bacterium
Lineage: Bacteria
Description: partial 16S ribosomal RNA
Rfam family: Bacterial small subunit ribosomal RNA
Source: RNAcentral
AGUGAACGCUGGCGGUAGGCCUAACACAUGCAAGUCGAACGGCAGCACAGUAAGAGCUUGCUCUUACGGGUGGCGAGUGGCGGACGCGUCAGGAAUACACCGGAAUCUACUUUUUCGUGGGGGAUAACGUCGGGAAACUUACGCUAAUACCGCAUACGACCUCCGGGUGAAAGCAGGGGAUCUUCGGACCUUGCGCGAUUGAAUGAGCCGAUGUCGGAUUAGCUAGUUGGCGGGGUAAAGGCCCACCAAGGCGACGAUCCGUAGCUGGUCUGAGGGGAUGAACGAGGACACUGGGACUGAGACACGGUCCAGACACCGACAGGAGGCAGCAGUGGAGAAUAUUGGAGGAUGGGGGCAAGCCUGAUCCAGCCAUACCGCGUGGGUGCAGAAGGCCUUCGGGUGGGAAAACCCUUUUGGUGGGAAAGAAAAGCAGCAGGUUAAUACCCCGCUGUUCUGACGGUACCCAAAGAAUAAGCACCGGCUAACUUCGUG